Papaver somniferum (opium poppy) is the source of this 402-nucleotide long non-coding RNA. RefSeq lists it as uncharacterized. The record is from RefSeq and is a predicted model, not a curated record. The transcript is spliced from 3 exons. Lineage: Eukaryota; Viridiplantae; Streptophyta; Magnoliopsida; Ranunculales; Papaveraceae.
AGGAAGUUGAGGAAAUUGGAGGUAUGUAACAACUUGUAUACUUUGUAUUGCAUUAUUUGCAUCCGUCUUGUGUGUAGUGGUAUAUGUGUGUGUUUUAAUGUGUGAUGAGUAUAGGAGGAGAAGAAACAAGAAGCAAAACUAUCUCAAAGUGUUCGAAUCUUGGACAAGUACAAGAUUCAAGAUGAAACGUUUUCUCUUCUCAAGUCGUCGGGGAAUAUAGGACAGGCUGGACCUGUCAAGGAAAAGCGGCUAAGGGCAGUACAGUUUCUGCAGGCCGGGUUAGAAGCUCCAGAAGAUGAUAGACCUAGUAAAAGAAGGGCAAAAGAGUCUGAGCCCUGUCAAGUCGAAGUUGGUGUGGAUGAAAAACAGGAGGUUGUUGAGGAUGACAUUAUACCGCCGAUG